RNAcentral lists this ribosomal RNA (372 nucleotides) under Triticum aestivum (bread wheat). Its description in RNAcentral is "partial small subunit ribosomal RNA". The record is from RNAcentral. Lineage: Eukaryota; Viridiplantae; Streptophyta; Magnoliopsida; Poales; Poaceae.
AUGAAGGGAGAGGAAACCACGGAAGUGCUGCGUGCGAGGCUCACCCUAUAGGAGGAGGAAGAGGAUGAUUUCGUCUGGGAGGAAGAGUUGCCGGACAUGGCGGAACCAGCGAAGUGGCUGGCGAUCGUCAGAGUCCAUACACCAAAAACUUUCAGCCCCAAUGCUCUGUAUGGGGAUAUGCGGGCAGCAUGGAAUCCGGCACGACCGGUGGUGUGGACGAAGAUCCGUGAGAACCUCUUCACGGCGCAGUUUGGUUGUCUGGGGGGAAUGGAACAAGGCGAUGUCAGAAGGCCCAUGGUUGUUCAGAGAUCAAGCAGUUAUUAUGGAGGAGUACGACGGGUUCAAAAACCCAGAUUCGUUCAAACUGGAUAA